Molecule: long non-coding RNA, 1343 nt
Organism: Papaver somniferum (opium poppy)
Lineage: Eukaryota; Viridiplantae; Streptophyta; Magnoliopsida; Ranunculales; Papaveraceae
Exons: 6
Source: RefSeq, a predicted model, not a curated record
CCUCUUUCGUCUUUCCUCCCGUCUCCAUCUCCAUCUCUGUGUUUAGAGAACUCUUUCCUCUCUUCUCAACUAUAAACCCCCGCAUCAUGAAGAACGUCAGGGUUUGUCAAGAUUGAAGAACAUUGAAGGUACUUGAAAGAAAAUCUGAGCUGGCUAGGCUAAAAGCCCUUGAUUGUGGAAAACCAUUGGAUGAAGCAGCAGGGGGCAUGGAUGAUGUUGCCGGAUGUUUCGAGUAUUAUGCAAAGGAAUUUAUCAACGGAGAAACUUUAUUUGUUUCGUUAAAUUAUUCUCUUUGUCCUCUGAAUUUUUCUUCUUUGUUUGUUUCAUCUGGUUUCAUUUGUUUCUCAUUUAUGAUGUUCCCCUGUGCUUGAUUGCAGCUAACUCUGACUCUCACAAUGAGGGGCAAUACUAAAGCAUUGUAGCGUUGAAGUUCAGAGUCAGGCUCAGGCUAGUUAGCAGGUUAGAGCCCCAGAUUUGGGAGUGAUAGGGGCAUAUCUCAUUUUUCUCAUACAAUAUCUUUUAGGCUAAACUGAGUGGCGCAAGAGUUGAGCCAUCCAUGUUGCAGGAACAUUUAGUAUCUGUUUUAUUUUUUUGGUUUCUGUUUUUACUUUCAGUAGUUGCAGAGUUUCGACUUUUAAGGCUGUGGGAGGGUGAUGCUAACUUGAAUGUUCACUUUAAGAUCAAAAUAGAACUCUAUUGUAGCAUUUGAAUUUCAUUGAUGUCUGUCCAUCUUUUGGGAAGUUAAUAUAUGUUCUUGUAGGUAUUACUUAGAAUCUGCCUACUUUGGUUUAUGUUUUACUUUCAGGAAUGACAGUGUUUUGAGGCUGUGGGUGGGUGAUGCUAAUCCAGUUAUGCAGCUUGAGUCAUUGGCUUAAUUCUGGUGCAAAAUAGUUUAACGUUCUUACGUUUCCUGUUUGUAUGCUACACCAUUGAUCAGUUCACACAUUCCUGGAGGUCAAUUACCACCUGGGAUGAUGAGACCACCUAUUCUGCCACGAUCAGCUGGUAUUCCAGGUGCAUAACUUUCUCUAGAAUUGUGGAUGAUGACCAAAUGAUGUUGGAAUGACAAGCUUGAAAUGACAGCGAAGAAAUGAAUUCAAAGAGGCAUAUAGCUAUGUACCUGGGCAGCUAAGAAAAUAAUGAUGCUUGUCGAGAUAUGUGUAAAACACUAAAACUAACUGCUUAAUCUUCGGGAUGGGCAGGUACAACUUUAUUUUUUCUCUUAGACACAUCCAACAAUGUUAUUUCUUUUAGAACAUAUUGUAAGAUACAUUGUGUAAAUUUCCCUUGUGUAAUCUUAACUUGAUGGAUAUGUCCUAAUGAAAGUUCUUGUUGUCAUAUGA